Molecule: ribosomal RNA, 497 nt
Filed under: uncultured bacterium
Lineage: Bacteria
Description: partial 16S ribosomal RNA
Rfam family: Bacterial small subunit ribosomal RNA
Source: RNAcentral
GAUGAACGCUGGCGGCGUGCCUAAUACAUGCAAGUCGAGCGAACAGACGAGGAGCUUACUCCUCUGACGUUAGCGGCGGACGGGUGAGUAACACGUGGAUAACCUACCUAUAAGACUGGGAUAACUUCGGGAAACCGGAGCUAAUACCGGAUAACAUGUUGAACCGCAUGGUUCAACAGUGAAAGACGGUCUUGCUGUCACUUAUAGAUGGAUCCGCGUCGCAUUAGCUAGUUGGUAAGGUAACGGCUUACCAAGGCAACGAUGCGUAGCCGACCUGAGAGGGUGAUCGGCCACACUGGAACUGAGACACGGUCCAGACUCCUACGGGAGGCAGCAGUAGGGAAUCUUCCGCAAUGGGCGAAAGCCUGACGGAGCAACGCCGCGUGAGUGAAGAAGGUCUUCGGAUCGUAAAACUCUGUUAUUAGGGAAGAACAAAUGUGUAAGUAGCUAUGCACGUCUUGACGGUACCUAAUCAGAAAGCCACGGCUAACUACGUG